GGCAAGAUGGCCGAGCGGUUAAGGCGUUGCACUCAAGUUGCAAUGGGGAAACCCGCGGGAGUUCGAAUCUCCCUCUUGUCA
This 81-nucleotide transfer RNA is filed under the name Coccidioides posadasii C735 delta SOWgp. RNAcentral's name for it is "tRNA-Leu (CAA) (tRNA-Leu-CAA-1-1)". It matches the Rfam family "tRNA". Rfam says of the family: Transfer RNA (tRNA) molecules are approximately 80 nucleotides in length. Their secondary structure includes four short double-helical elements and three loops (D, anti-codon, and T loops). Further hydrogen bonds mediate the characteristic L-shaped molecular structure. tRNAs have two regions of fundamental functional importance: the anti-codon, which is responsible for specific mRNA codon recognition, and the 3' end, to which the tRNAs corresponding amino acid is attached (by aminoacyl-tRNA synthetases). tRNAs cope with the degeneracy of the genetic code in two manners: having more than one tRNA (with a specific anti-codon) for a particular amino acid; and 'wobble' base-pairing, i.e. permitting non-standard base-pairing at the 3rd anti-codon position. The record is from RNAcentral. RNAcentral also lists the same sequence under 13 other names. Lineage: Eukaryota; Fungi; Ascomycota; Eurotiomycetes; Onygenales; Onygenaceae.